This is a long non-coding RNA of Musa acuminata AAA Group (dessert banana), 1631 nucleotides long. RefSeq lists it as uncharacterized. The transcript has 2 exons. Lineage: Eukaryota; Viridiplantae; Streptophyta; Magnoliopsida; Zingiberales; Musaceae. The record is from RefSeq and is a predicted model, not a curated record.
GGGCGUGAGGAGAAGAAGAAGAGAAGCUGAGGGAGAAGAGACGAAAAGAAGAAGAAGAGGGAAAAGAAGAGAGGAGGAAGUGGGAGAAGAGAAGAAAAGAAGAAGAAGAAGAGAGGGAAGAUGGAGAGGAGAGAGAGAGGCAGCAGCAGCAGCUAAGGCUGCUGCACCUCUGUUUCCCGCAGGUGGAAACAGAGGAGAGGAUGUGUGGGGCGUAGGGGAGGAAAAGGGAAGAGAAGAAGAAGAAGAAGAAGAAGAAGAAGAAGAAGAAGAGAGGAGAAUAGCUGCGGCAAGGCUGCAGCGAGGAGGUGUGUGGCGUUGGGGAGGAAAAGGGAAGAGGAGAAGAAGAGAAGGAGAAGAAGAGGGAAAAGAGAGGGAAGAGGGAGAGGAGCGAGAGGUGGCAGCAGCUAGGGCUGCAGCACCUCUGUUUCCUGCAGGUGGAAACAGAGGAGAGGUGUGGGGCGUUCGAAGAGGAGAAGAAGGAGAAGAGGAAGAGAAGAAGAAGAGGAAGCAGGAGAAGAGGUUGUGAUACCUCUGUUUCCUGCAGAGGAAACAGAGGAGAGGGUGUGUGUGACGCCGGGGAGGAGGAGGGAAGAAGAAGAGGAGAAGAAGAGAAGGGGAAGGAGGAGCUGCGGCUGCGGCGGUGGCAGCUGCAGCUGGAAGAGAAGGAGAGGAAGAAAAGAAGGUGAGGAAGAAGAGAAGAAGAAGAAAGGAAGGAGAAGGAAGAGGAGAAGGAAAAGAAGCAGCUGCGGCUGCGGCUGUGGCAGCUGCAGCUGUGGCAGGGAAAGAGAAAGAGGAAGGAAGAAGGGAAGGAGAGGAAGAUGAGCAGGGGAGGAAGAAGAGGCUGCGGCCGUGGCUGAGGCUGCGACUGCAGCAGUGCAGCUGGGAAAGAAGAGAAGGAAAGGAAGAAGAAGAGAAAGGGAAGGAGAGGAAGAAGAGAGGAAGAGAAGGGGUGGCAGCUGCGGCAGUGGCAGCUGCAGUUGGAAGAGAAGAAGGAGAGGAAAUAGAGUAGCGGAGGAAGAAGAGGCUGCGGUUGUGGCAGUUGCAGCUGGGAAAGAAAGGAAAGGAAAGGGGGAAAAAGGGGCUGCGGACGGGAUUGCGGCUGCAGCGGCAGAGACUGUGUAUGCAGCAGCUGUGUCUGCGAAAGAUGGGGAGGAAGAAGGCAGUGCAGAGGAAUGGGCUGCGGUUGUGACCGCAGCUAUGGUCGUGGCUACGACUGUGGUAGUGGCAGCGGCGUUGGCUGUGAUAGCUGUGUUUGAAAAAGAAAACGAAGGAAUGAGAGUAAGAGAGAGUAGGUGACUAUACCUCUAUGUUCUGCAUGAGCUACAGUUGUGAAGGAAAAAGAGAAAACAUGUAAAAAACGAAACAGGGAGAGGACGCAGAGGAAAAGUAGAAGGAUUUGGGCUGACACCUUCUUUGGAUCUUCGGAUCAAAAUCUUUGAAAGGUCAGCUUGUCACUCUUUGAGAUGUUUGAAUUGGGCUGAGGCAGUGGAGAGCUAUUCAGAAUUAUGGGCAAGUCUUGUUGGUUAUUAUGUUAUUGUUGUAUAAGCAUAUUUUGUAUGAAAUGAAAUGUUGUCGAUGAAUCGAAAUGGAUAUACUAUGUAAAAGUAUUAGAAGAUCUCUCUUAUUUGGAA